AACGAACGCUGGCGGCAUGCCUAACACAUGCAAGUCGAACGAGACCUUCGGGUCUAGUGGCGCACGGGUGCGUAACGCGUGGGAACCUGCCCUUAGGUUCGGAAUAACUCCCCGAAAGGGGUGCUAAUAGCGGAUAAUGUCUUCGGACCAAAGAUUUAUCGCCUUUGGAUGGGCCCGCGUUGGAUUAGCUAGUUGGUAGGGUAAAAGCCUACCAAGGCGACGAUCCAUAGCUGGUCUGAGAGGAUGAUCAGCCACACUGGGACUGAGACACGGCCCAGACUCCUACGGGAGGCAGCAGUGGGGAAUAUUGGACAAUGGGCGAAAGCCUGAUCCAGCAAUGCCGCGUGAGUGAUGAAGGCCUUAGGGUUGUAAAGCUCUUUUACCCGGGAUGAUAAUGACAGUACCGGGAGAAUAAGCUCCGGCUAACUCCGUG
RNAcentral lists this ribosomal RNA (433 nucleotides) under uncultured bacterium. RNAcentral describes it as "partial 16S ribosomal RNA". It matches the Rfam family "Bacterial small subunit ribosomal RNA", at positions 29 to 507 of the family's 1533-position model. The record is from RNAcentral.